GGAAUCUUAGCUCAGUGGAAGAGCGCCCCUGCGCACCUCGGUUCGUUGCCGGGAAGGGGAGGACGGAGGUUCGACCCCUCCAGAUUCCA
This 89-nucleotide transfer RNA is filed under the name Burkholderia pseudomallei. Its description in RNAcentral is "tRNA-Val(cac)". It matches the Rfam family "tRNA". Rfam says of the family: Transfer RNA (tRNA) molecules are approximately 80 nucleotides in length. Lineage: Bacteria; Pseudomonadati; Pseudomonadota; Betaproteobacteria; Burkholderiales; Burkholderiaceae. The record is from RNAcentral.